AAAUGCGAUAAGUAAUGUGAAUUGCAGAAUUCAGUGAAUCAUCGAAUCUUUGAACGCACCUUGCGCUCCUUGGUAUUCCUUGGAGCAUGCCUGUUUGAGUAUCAUGAAAUCUUCAAAGUAAAUCUUUUGUUAACUCAAUUGGUUUCUACUUUGGUAUUGGAGGUCUUUGCAGCUUCACACCUGCUCCUCUUUGUUCAUUAGUUGGAUCUCAGUGUUAUGCUUGGUUCCACUCGGCGUGAUAAGUUAUCUAUCGCUGAGGACACUGUAAAAGGUGGCCAAGGUAAAUGCAGAUGAACCGCUUCUAAUAGUCCAUUGACUUGGACAAUACUUUUAUGAUCUGAUCUCAAAUCAGGUAGGACUACCCGCUGAACUUAAGC
RNAcentral lists this unclassified non-coding RNA (377 nucleotides) under plant metagenome. Its description in RNAcentral is "partial contains 5.8S ribosomal RNA, internal transcribed spacer 2, and large subunit ribosomal RNA". The stretch from base 1 to 104 matches the Rfam family "5.8S ribosomal RNA", at positions 51 to 154 of the family's 154-position model. The record is from RNAcentral.